This 497-nucleotide ribosomal RNA is filed under the name uncultured bacterium. Its description in RNAcentral is "partial 16S ribosomal RNA". It matches the Rfam family "Bacterial small subunit ribosomal RNA", at positions 28 to 507 of the family's 1533-position model. The record is from RNAcentral.
GAUGAACGCUGGCGGCGUGCCUAAUACAUGCGAGUCGAGCGAACAGACGAGGAGCUUGCUCCUCUGACGUUAGCGGCGGACGGGUGAGUAACACGUGGAUAACCUACCUAUAAGACUGGGAUAACUUCGGGAAACCGGAGCUAAUACCGGAUAAUAUAUUGAACCGCAUGGUUCAAUAGUGAAAGACGGUUUUGCUGUCACUUAUAGAUGGAUCCGCGCCGCAUUAGCUAGUUGGUAAGGUAACGGCUUACUAAGGCAACGAUGCGUAGCCGACCUGAGAGGGUGAUCGGCCACACUGGAACUGAGACACGGUCCAGACUCCUACGGGAGGCAGCAGUAGGGAAUCUUCCGCAAUGGGCGAAAGCCUGACGGAGCAACGCCGCGUGAGUGAUGAAGGUCUUCGGAUCGUAAAACUCUGUUAUUAGGGAAGAACAAAUGUGUAAGUAACUAUGCACGUCUUGACGGUACCUAAUCAGAAAGCCACGGCUAACUACGUG